This 406-nucleotide ribosomal RNA is filed under the name uncultured bacterium. RNAcentral describes it as "partial 16S ribosomal RNA". It matches the Rfam family "Bacterial small subunit ribosomal RNA", at positions 29 to 526 of the family's 1533-position model. The record is from RNAcentral.
AAUGAACGCUGGCGGCAGGCCUAACACAUGCAAGUCGAACGAGUGGCAGCCGGGUGAGUAAUGUCUGGGACACUGCCCGAUGGAGGGGGAUAACUACUGGAAACGGUAGCUAAUACCGCAUACCAUCGGAUGUUCCCCGAUGGGAUUAGCUAGUAGGUGGGGUAACGGAUCACCUAGGCGACGCUCCCUAGCUGGUCUGAGAGGAUGACCAGCCACAAUGGCACUGCGACCUGGUCCAGACGCCUACGGGAGGCAGCAGUGGGGAAGAUUGCACAAUGGGCGCAAGCCUGACGCAGCAAGGCCGCGUGUAUGAAGAAGGCCUUCGGGUUGGAAAGUACUUUCAGCGAGGAGGCGUUAAUCGCAGAAGAAGCACCGGCUAACUCCGUGCCAGCAGCCGCGGUAAUAC